GUACUGAGACACUGACUUGGCAAAAAGUAUGUAAAAUUAUGUAACCUUGAGCUUGGUUCUGGGAACUGGACUUGUGGGUUCUAAGUCCGGUGAUGAGCCCGACUCUGUGUGAUGGCAUCUACUAAAUGAAUGAUGGUGCCGGCAACCACUUCCUCUCAUACAUGAUGUGGUCUUUCCUUUUCCUAGGAUGUUUGGGGGAAAUGGAUUUGAAGAGGGAACAAACAAGGAUAGAAAAACUCAUCAAGAGAUUAUUACAACAAUCCCAAAGAGAAAUGAUGAUGGCCAGAACUAAGGCUGUGACUAGCACGAAAGGAAGAGAGAAGAUAGAAGUAUCAACAAAACAAGGUGAAUAACUGAGCUUCAAAGGGAUUAAGCAACGUGGCUGUGGUUACACAAUGAUGGAGCUGGAAUUUAAACUCAGAUAUUUUUUAUUGCAAAAGUCAUGUUCCUAUUCAAACUGCUUUCCAAAUGGCUGAGUGCUCACAUAAUGAGAAAUGUGGGCUUUGCUAAUAUAAAAUAUGAAUGUGUUUAGGGCCAUCUGUUUCUCUCCAUUCCAAUACCCAUUACCA
Myotis lucifugus (little brown bat) is the source of this 569-nucleotide long non-coding RNA. RefSeq lists it as uncharacterized. The record is from RefSeq and is a predicted model, not a curated record. NCBI's taxonomy places the organism in Eukaryota, Metazoa, Chordata, Mammalia, Chiroptera, Vespertilionidae. The transcript is spliced from 3 exons.